This 1300-nucleotide ribosomal RNA is filed under the name Arthrobacter sp. S2E. RNAcentral's name for it is "bacterial SSU rRNA". It matches the Rfam family "Bacterial small subunit ribosomal RNA", at positions 127 to 1437 of the family's 1533-position model. The record is from RNAcentral. Lineage: Bacteria; Bacillati; Actinomycetota; Actinomycetes; Micrococcales; Micrococcaceae.
UGCCCUUAACUCUGGGAUAAGCCUGGGAAACUGGGUCUAAUACCGGAUAUGACUCCUCAUCGCAUGGUGGGGGGUGGAAAGCUUUUUGUGGUUUUGGAUGGACUCGCGGCCUAUCAGCUUGUUGGUGAGGUAAUGGCUUACCAAGGCGACGACGGGUAGCCGGCCUGAGAGGGUGACCGGCCACACUGGGACUGAGACACGGCCCAGACUCCUACGGGAGGCAGCAGUGGGGAAUAUUGCACAAUGGGCGCAAGCCUGAUGCAGCGACGCCGCGUGAGGGAUGACGGCCUUAAAGUUGUAAACCUCUUUCAGUAGGGAAGAAGCGAAAGUGACGGUACCUGCAGAAGAAGCGCCGGCUAACUACGUGCCAGCAGCCGCGGUAAUACGUAGGGCGCAAGCGUUAUCCGGAAUUAUUGGGCGUAAAGAGCUCGUAGGCGGUUUGUCGCGUCUGCCGUGAAAGUCCGGGGCUCAACUCCGGAUCUGCGGUGGGUACGGGCAGACUAGAGUGAUGUAGGGGAGACUGGAAUUCCUGGUGUAGCGGUGAAAUGCGCAGAUAUCAGGAGGAACACCGAUGGCGAAGGCAGGUCUCUGGGCAUUAACUGACGCUGAGGAGCGAAAGCAUGGGGAGCGAACAGGAUUAGAUACCCUGGUAGUCCAUGCCGUAAACGUUGGGCACUAGGUGUGGGGGACAUUCCACGUUUUCCGCGCCGUAGCUAACGCAUUAAGUGCCCCGCCUGGGGAGUACGGCCGCAAGGCUAAAACUCAAAGGAAUUGACGGGGGCCCGCACAAGCGGCGGAGCAUGCGGAUUAAUUCGAUGCAACGCGAAGAACCUUACCAAGGCUUGACAUGGACCGGACCGGGCUGGAAACAGUCCUUCUCCUUUGGGGCUGGUUCACAGGUGGUGCAUGGUUGUCGUCAGCUCGUGUCGUGAGAUGUUGGGUUAAGUCCCGCAACGAGCGCAACCCUCGUUCUAUGUUGCCAGCACGUGAUGGUGGGGACUCAUAGGAGACUGCCGGGGUCAACUCGGAGGAAGGUGGGGACGACGUCAAAUCAUCAUGCCCCUUAUGUCUUGGGCUUCACGCAUGCUACAAUGGCCGGUACAAAGGGUUGCGAUACUGUGAGGUGGAGCUAAUCCCAAAAAGCCGGUCUCAGUUCGGAUUGGGGUCUGCAACUCGACCCCAUGAAGUCGGAGUCGCUAGUAAUCGCAGAUCAGCAACGCUGCGGUGAAUACGUUCCCGGGCCUUGUACACACCGCCCGUCAAGUCACGAAAGUUGGUAACACCCGAAGCCGGUGGCCUA